This is a long non-coding RNA of Lates calcarifer (barramundi perch), 1180 nucleotides long. RefSeq lists it as uncharacterized. Lineage: Eukaryota; Metazoa; Chordata; Actinopteri; Centropomidae. The transcript is spliced from 4 exons. The record is from RefSeq and is a predicted model, not a curated record.
UGUUAUUUAAGAAACUGUAUCAUGUGUUGUAUUAAGUUUUUUGUUUGUUUAAUUCAGAAGCUGUUAGGAGGCGGAGCAGAAUCACUCCACCAAUCAGCGUUUACCUGCAGACGUUGGCUGACGUUCGUGGACGUUGGCUGACGUGUGUCGUCAUUGAACGUGAGCCACGGCUGGGCAGCAAGGCGGCGGGGAAGCAAAGUUGGAAGAACGAGUGAAAACACCGAGUAAAACAAAUGUUUGAGUCGUCGCUUCGGCGCUUUGGUUUGUUAACGAUUUGAGAUAUUACAUUACCGAAGAAGUUUGGACGCCGAAACAACAGUUUGGAGCAGUUUUGUCGAAUGACGCUGAAACACACCUGCGUGAAGGGUUUAAACAACACUGUGUCUGUAGACCAGACUCCUGGUGAGCCCGUGCUCAAGCAUCACGUCUACGAGAGGAGAGAAUGAAGUCCAGAGACAAAGACACACAGAAGGUGCAGAGGCCUCGCUGGAUCUCCAUGAGUCAGCCAGGAACCCAGAGCCAGAGGACAUCAGUGACAUGUUACAUAAUCAACAAGGACUCAAACUUCACCCUGGAAAUUGCAGAGAAGAGACAGACACGAAGGUUUACAGGUCCAGAAGUUCAGCUGCUGUCUUGUUCUCCUCCUCCUGCAGAGACAGAACACGUUAAUCAACUGAUCAAUAAAUCUAAUCUUCCUGCUCCAAACUGUCCUCAGUCCUUUUUUGAUAGUUAAUUACAACAUUUUAGUAGGAGUGCUGCUACUACAGUCUUGUUGAAGAAAUUAAUCAACUAUUUUUCUAAACUAUUUACAUUGUUUGGUUCUAAUUAUUACAGCAAUGACUAUGACUGUGUCCAUGUCUGAAUAUUACAAGUUACUUCUAUUAAUACUACAAUAUUGCAUUACCUCUAAUUUCUAAGAGUAGAAAUUAUGUAUAACAUUAACACAUUACUGUAAACAUUACACAUUAUUUUUAAUAAAUAGUUUUGGGGCUAUUUUAAUCUUCAGACAGGGACACAGUCAUUGUCUCUAAUGUGACUGUAAUAAUUAGAAAAACAAACUAAUGUAAAUAGUUAAGAGAAAUAGCUGAUUAAUUUUUUAACAAGACUGCAGCAGUAGCAGCACUCCUACUAAAAUGUUGUAAUUAACUAUCAAAAAGGAAUAGGGACAGUUCUAAUUAAA